GGAUAAUUAACCUCCACUAUCCCACGUCUUUCCAUAUCCUUAAACUCCCUCUCAUCCACGUCUUCUUAUUUUAAUAUUUUUAAAAAGAAAAUCAAAAUUAUCUUCUCAUACUGCUCAGUGAAACUGUGUUCUCUGAGAGUGAAAUUCCACAACUGAAAUUCUUCUGCAUUAUAAGGUACAUGGUUACUGCAUUGUCACGUUGAAGCGCUAAAGGUUGAUAGUCUGCAGAAACUCUGUUCAACAGUGAAUCCAAUACGCCUCCACUUUAUACCAUGCUUCACGAGGGAAGAGCGAAGUUGCGCCAUCAAGAUUUAAGGAUUUGUGAAAGCAAAUGCCUUGAGGUAAACAUAAGAGAUCUUCAAAAUGCAACCGCAAACUUUUGCAGUGGAAGACAAUAUAAGUUUCAGCCCAAUUCUUAAUCACUGUGUAUUACAUGACUUUGGCGAUUUGAUUAAGAAAAAAUUAUCUACUCAGAGAAAUCUGUGAAUGCUGAAUAGGUACCGUGAUACAAGAACUAUUCAUGAUAUCUUUGGCGGUUUGCAAAGCAAGACAGAACGAGUUCAAUCUUCUGGUUUCGAAUUAAGGAAAGGGUGGCGACCCGACAUAGUACAAUAGAAAUCCAAAAAGUCAACUAGCUACUUUCUUUGGAUAACCUGUAGUAAGGAUAUCCUUUAAUUUGAUGCAUAUUACUCAGUAUAGUGAAUGAUAAGAUCAACGAAAAUUGUAAUGUUGGAAUUUGAGCAUGUUCACUAGUUUAUGGGUGUAAUUAUUUUGGAUCCGAAUGGCAUUAAUAACUAUUUGCUAAGGUUGGUUUGAAAAAUUAUCGAAUGUGAAUUUCAAUGAAGUUGAUGUAAAUGAAGCUAUUUAUUGACGA
Molecule: long non-coding RNA, 874 nt
Organism: Capsicum annuum
Lineage: Eukaryota; Viridiplantae; Streptophyta; Magnoliopsida; Solanales; Solanaceae
Exons: 5
Source: RefSeq, a predicted model, not a curated record